Molecule: ribosomal RNA, 493 nt
Filed under: uncultured bacterium
Lineage: Bacteria
Description: partial 16S ribosomal RNA
Rfam family: Bacterial small subunit ribosomal RNA
Source: RNAcentral
AUUGAACGCUGGCGGCAUGCUUUACACAUGCAAGUCGAACGGUAACAGGUUAAGCUGACGAGUGGCGAACGGGUGAGUAAUGCAUCGGAACGUGCCCGAUCGUGGGGGAUAACGCAGCGAAAGCUGCGCUAAUACCGCAUACGAUCUGAGGAUGAAAGCGGGGGACCGUAAGGCCUCGCGCGAUCGGAGCGGCCGAUGUCAGAUUAGGUAGUUGGUGGGGUAAAGGCCCACCAAGCCAACGAGCUGUAGCUGGUCUGAGCGGACGACCAGCCACACGGGGACUGAGACACGGCCCAGACUCCUACGGGAGGCAGCAGUGGGGAAUUUUGGACAAUGGGCGAAAGCCUGAUCCAGCAAUGCCGCGUGCAGGAAGAAGGCCUUCGGGUUGUAAACUGCUUUUGUACGGAGCGAAAAGGUCUCCUCUAAUACAGGGGGCUCAUGACGGUACCGUAAGAAUAAGCACCGGCUAACUACGUGCCAGCAGCCGCGGUAA